Molecule: transfer RNA, 72 nt
Filed under: Oryzias latipes (Japanese medaka)
Lineage: Eukaryota; Metazoa; Chordata; Actinopteri; Beloniformes; Adrianichthyidae
Description: tRNA-Cys (GCA) (tRNA-Cys-GCA-18-1, tRNA-Cys-GCA-18-2)
Rfam family: tRNA
About the family: Transfer RNA (tRNA) molecules are approximately 80 nucleotides in length. Their secondary structure includes four short double-helical elements and three loops (D, anti-codon, and T loops).
Source: Rfam by way of RNAcentral
GGGGGUAUAGCUCAGUGGUAGAGCAUUUGACUGCAGAUCAAGAGGUCCCCAGUUCAACUCUGGGUGCCCCUG